GGGUGUACGGUCGUCGCAUUGCGCUGGCGCUCACCUUAUAGGCGGAGCAGCGCCCGAUUGGGAGAGAAGAGGGGGCUAGGGGUGCGCUAGAGCGGGCGGCGGCGGCGGCGGGGACGGUACCGAAAGAGGCGCGCCUCCUCGGAGCGGUGGUGGGAGAGGUCGGUGAAGUGGGCGGCGGAGGUGGGGAGGGAAAGGGUGGAGCAGGGGAGGAGGGUGGCGCUGUUGUUGGCGCUCCUGAGGAGGAGGAGGAGGAGGCCGGGGGGCAAGGGGUGGGUCGUUCGGGGCGUGAAGGGGAGGCCGCUGGAGGCAGCCGCGAGCUCUAGGGUCCCGGACCGGGAGGGCGAGGGGAAGCCGCGGGUGGAGCGCCGGGUGGCGUCGAAGAGGUGGAGGAGGGGGCCUGGCGUCUAGCUACCCUAGGAGUGGCUGGGGCGCCGGCCGGUCUACCUACAGCGCCGCCCGCAGGAGAGGCUGCGGCGUCGGAACCAGCGCGGGCGGAAGGGCAACGGGAAGGGCCCCCUUCACCGGCGGCGGCGGCGUCUGAGCAAAGGGGGGCAGCGCCGUGACGUCAUGCGGUAGCUGCGGCAGGUAAGCAAGUGGCCCGAGUUGACCACCCGAAGAUAACGCCACUGCUGGUAGAACUAGGCUUGCCACUGGUAGGGCGACGAACACUUGGUCGACUUCAGGUGCUACUUCGACUUACGUUACUCCGGUCUUUAACUCCGCUAGUUGUACCUUUACGCAUUAAGUUACCUAGGUGUUAGCUACGAUCUCCCCUUUUUCUUUAACCCGCUCGAUAAGUGUUUCGUACCACAAUUAGGUAACUGAGGCAAUUUCCCAAAUGAGUAGGUUCCCGGAUAUAAGUACUCGAAAAAGAAGCGAUAUGUUUUGUACCACCUCUUUCAGGGAAGAAACUUUCCCCCACCUCGUAUAACCAAAUGACUAAACUGUUGAGGGCUACUCGAAAUGUAGGAGGGUCACAACUGUAGUCACUGCAAGAACCGAUGCCACCUCGAGUUAUACGUUCUUCCAUACCUCCCUUUAGGAUACGACGUUUGCUACUUCUUAAAGAGAUCUUAUAACCGAGAAUACUGAUAUGGUAAAUGUUACGUGAAAGGGUUCCGUUAAAAGACAAUGACCCAUUGCCGUUUGAACAAGAGAGAACCCAUACCAAAACGAGAGGCCUUCUGUCGGCAUUCCAUAAAGAACUUAGAAGGCCUCCAACAUGGUGUCGGGUUUCGACGCGUUAACAGCUGGAAGUUGGAAAAGCUCCGUGGUUUCGGUCACAGUCGUCAACUAUGUGGGUGACCUUUGUUGCCACUAAGUGGGUGACCUCUGUUGACACUAAGUGGGUGGCGUCGGUUACCCAGUCUCGUCAGAUUACGACUCGAUUCGCUAGCCCAACACAAAGAACUCUUCUUCUAACGUCUUGAACUCUCCGCCCGAUUUCGAUCUCCGCUUAGAGUUCUCAUUAUUUGAUUGUCCAUUCAAAACUAGCUCGUGCACUUAGGAUUUCUUCGUGACAAACAUUGGACACAGACCACCACUUCCCCAUAGACCGUGGCUGAAUGGUUAUAUCAUGGUUCUAAACUGAACCUGAUAGGUUAAAACACUCGUACACAUACGCGCACACCGUUGACAACAAAGCUCGUUUAUUUGGCCUCCCUAGGACCGUCUAUUUUGGCGGUCACAAACAACCUAAUUGGCGUCACUACGACCGGCUCGUCUCUGGUCUCCCAUGAAAAUAAGAACAUAGUGAACGAACUGUAAACUCUUACCUUGCUACAUUAUCAUAAUCGAAAAUCAAACGCUAGUUCUAUUUUGCUCCGACAGCUUUUGUAUACCGCCCUGGCAGCUAAGGACAAUGUAACAAACUACUAUUUCACUGAUUCAUUAUGGGACAAUAAGACUCUGUCUAAGAAGAGAUCGAGCACG
This 1932-nucleotide ribosomal RNA is filed under the name Triticum aestivum (bread wheat). RNAcentral describes it as "partial small subunit ribosomal RNA". The record is from RNAcentral. Lineage: Eukaryota; Viridiplantae; Streptophyta; Magnoliopsida; Poales; Poaceae.